CCUACGGGGGGCAGCAGUGAGGAAUAUUGGUCAAUGGUCGGGAGACUGAACCAGCCAAGCCGCGUGAGGGAGGAAGGUACAGAGUAUCGUAAACCUCUUUUGUCAGGGAACAAAGGCGGGGACGUGUCCCCGGAUGAGUGUACCUGAAGAAAAAGCAUCGGCUAACUCCGUGCCAGCAGCCGCGGUAAUACGUAGGUGGCAAGCGUUAUCCGGAUUUACUGGGUGUAAAGGGCGUGUAGGCGGGACUGCAAGUCAGAUGUGAAAACCACGGGCUCAACCUGUGGCCUGCAUUUGAAACUGUAGUUCUUGAGUACUGGAGAGGCAGACGGAAUUCCUAGUGUAGCGGUGAAAUGCGUAGAUAUUAGGAGGAACACCAGUGGCGAAGGCGGUCUGCUGGACAGCAACUGACGCUGAGGCGCGAAAGCGUGGGGAGCAAACAGGAUUAGAUACCCGGGUAGUC
This 460-nucleotide ribosomal RNA is filed under the name uncultured bacterium. Its description in RNAcentral is "partial 16S ribosomal RNA". It matches the Rfam family "Bacterial small subunit ribosomal RNA", at positions 338 to 795 of the family's 1533-position model. The record is from RNAcentral.